GCGGGCGUGGUGCAGGGGUAGCACGUCUGCCUUCCAAGCAGAAGGUCGCGGGUUCAAAUCCCGUCGCCCGCU
This 72-nucleotide transfer RNA is filed under the name Pseudomonadota bacterium. RNAcentral describes it as "tRNA-Gly". It matches the Rfam family "tRNA". From Rfam's summary of the family: Transfer RNA (tRNA) molecules are approximately 80 nucleotides in length. Their secondary structure includes four short double-helical elements and three loops (D, anti-codon, and T loops). RNAcentral also lists the same sequence under 1 other name. Lineage: Bacteria; Pseudomonadati; Pseudomonadota. The record is from RNAcentral.